RNAcentral lists this ribosomal RNA (253 nucleotides) under uncultured bacterium. RNAcentral describes it as "partial 16S ribosomal RNA". It matches the Rfam family "Bacterial small subunit ribosomal RNA", at positions 524 to 776 of the family's 1533-position model. The record is from RNAcentral.
UACGUAGGGGGCAAGCGUUGUCCGGAAUUAUUGGGCGUAAAGAGCGUGUAGGCGGCCCGGUAAGUCCGCUGUGAAAGUCCAGGGCUCAACCCUGGGAUGCCGGUGGAUACUGUCGGGCUCGAGUCCGGAAGAGGAGUGUGGAAUUCCUGGUGUAGCGAUGAAAUGCGCAGAUAUCAGGAGGAACACCAAUGGCGAAGGCAGCACUCUGGGACGUGACUGACGCUGAGACGCGAAAGCGUGGGGAGCAAACAGG